This 321-nucleotide ribosomal RNA is filed under the name Triticum aestivum (bread wheat). Its description in RNAcentral is "partial small subunit ribosomal RNA". The record is from RNAcentral. Lineage: Eukaryota; Viridiplantae; Streptophyta; Magnoliopsida; Poales; Poaceae.
GACCGCUCGUUUGAGGUUGGAGAUAUGGUAUUCCUCAAAUUACAGCCUUUUAUCCAGACAUCGGUGGCGCAACGCCCCUACCAGAAGCUGGCAUUCCGCUACUAUGGCCCUUACCGGAUCAUCGCCAGAGUUGGUGCGGUAGCCUACAAGCUCCAGCUGCCCGACGAUAGCAAAAUACAUCCUGUGGUGCAUGUGUCACAACUGAAAUGCAUGGUUGGACCAGAUGCUCGGGUGAGUCCUUCAUUACCAUCAGCUAACUCAGUUUUGCAGGCAGAACACCAGCCCGUGGCGAUCCAAGAUAACAAGCUGGUGCACGUCAAG